Molecule: ribosomal RNA, 497 nt
Filed under: uncultured bacterium
Lineage: Bacteria
Description: partial 16S ribosomal RNA
Rfam family: Bacterial small subunit ribosomal RNA
Source: RNAcentral
GAUGAACGCUGGCGGCGUGCCUAAUACAUGCCAGUCGAGCGAACAGAUGAGGAGCUUGCUCCUCUGACGUUAGCGGCGGACGGGUGAGUAACACGUGGAUAACCUACCUAUAAGACUGGGAUAACUUCGGGAAACCGGAGCUAAUACCGGAUAAUAUAUUGAACCGCAUGGUUCAAUAGUGAAAGACGGUUUUGCUGUCACUUAUAGAUGGAUCCGCGCCGCAUUAGCUAGUUGGUAAGGUAACGGCUUACCAAGGCAACGAUGCGUAGCCGACCUGAGAGGGUGAUCGGCCACACUGGAACUGAGACACGGUCCAGACUCCUACGGGAGGCAGCAGUAGGGAAUCUUCCGCAAUGGGCGAAAGCCUGACGGAGCAACGCCGCGUGAGUGAUGAAGGUCUUCGGAUCGUAAAACUCUGUUAUUAGGGAAGAACAAAUGUGUAAGUAACUAUGCACGUCUCGACGGUACCUAAUCAGAAAGCCACGGCUAACUACGUG